AGUGAACGCUGGCGGUAGGCCUAACACAUGCAAGUCGAACGGCAGUACAGGAGAGCUUGCUCUCUGGGUGGCGAGUGGCGGACGGGUGAGGAAUACAUCGGAAUCUACUCUGUCGUGGGGGAUAACGUAGGGAAACUUACGCUAAUACCGCAUACGACCUACGGGUGAAAGCAGGGGAUCUUCGGACCUUGCGCGAUUGAAUGAGCCGAUGUCGGAUUAGCUAGUUGGCGGGGUAAAGGCCCACCAAGGCGACGAUCCGUAGCUGGUCUGAGAGGAUGAUCAGCCACACUGGAACUGAGACACGGUCCAGACUCCUACGGGAGGCAGCAGUGGGGAAUAUUGGACAAUGGGCGCAAGCCUGAUCCAGCCAUACCGCGUGGGUGAAGAAGGCCUUUGGGUUGUAAAGCCCUUUUGUUGGGAAAGAAAUCCAGCUGGCUAAUACCCGGUUGGGAUGACGGUACCCAAAGAAUAAGCACCGGCUAACUUCGUGCCAGCAGCCGCGGUAA
This 506-nucleotide ribosomal RNA is filed under the name uncultured bacterium. Its description in RNAcentral is "partial 16S ribosomal RNA". It matches the Rfam family "Bacterial small subunit ribosomal RNA", at positions 29 to 523 of the family's 1533-position model. The record is from RNAcentral.